Molecule: unclassified non-coding RNA, 369 nt
Filed under: soil metagenome
Description: partial contains 5.8S ribosomal RNA, internal transcribed spacer 2, and large subunit ribosomal RNA
Rfam family: 5.8S ribosomal RNA (bases 1-122)
Source: RNAcentral
GAUGAAGAACGUAGCGAAAUGCGAUACUUGGUGUGAAUUGCAGAAUCCCGUGAACCAUCGAGUCUUUGAACGCAAGUUGCGCCCGAAGCCAUUAGGCCGAGGGCACGCCUGCCUGGGUGUCACACGUCGUUGCCCCCCCAUCUACUCCUUCGGGGUUGCGGGGGGCGGAUGAUGGCCUCCCGUGCGCCUCGUCGCGCGGUGCGACGCACGCCACGACAAUCGGUGGUUGCGAAAUCUCGGUUGCCCGUCGUGUGCGGUCGUCGCGCAUCGAGGGCUCGAAAAAAUUGCCGGGCUCCGGCUCGGCUUUCAACGCGACCCCAGGUCAGGCGGGGUUACCCGCUGAAUUUAAGCAUAUCAAUAAGCGGAGGA